RNAcentral lists this ribosomal RNA (549 nucleotides) under uncultured fungus. Its description in RNAcentral is "eukaryotic LSU rRNA". The stretch from base 186 to 339 matches the Rfam family "5.8S ribosomal RNA". The record is from RNAcentral. Lineage: Eukaryota; Fungi.
UCCGUAGGUGAACCUGCGGAAGGAUCAUUAAUGAUUGACCGUCUGUCGAGCUUGCUCACAGGCACAUCAUAUCCAUAACACCUGUGCACUUGUCGGAUGGCUUAGUGAAGACCGCAAGGUUGGAUCUAUCCAUCUACUUUACAUAACAAUUCUGUAACAAAUGUAGUCUUAUUAUAACAUAAUAAAACUUUCAACAACGGAUCUCUUGGCUCUCGCAUCGAUGAAGAACGCAGCGAAAUGCGAUAAGUAAUGUGAAUUGCAGAAUUCAGUGAAUCAUCGAAUCUUUGAACGCACAUUGCGCCCCCUGGUAUUCCGGGGGGCAUGCCUGUCCGAGCGUCAUUACAACCCUCAAGCUCAGCUUGGUGUUGGGCCCCGCCGCCCCGGCGGGCCCUAAAGUCAGUGGCGGUGCCGUCCGGCUCCGAGCGUAGUAAUUCUUCUCGCUCUGGAGGUCCGGUCGUGUGCUUGCCAGCAACCCCCAAUUUUUUUCAGGUUGACCUCGGAUCAGGUAGGGAUACCCGCUGAACUUAAGCAUAUCAAUAAGCGGAGGAA